AGUGAACGCUGGCGGUAGGCCUAACACAUGCAAGUCGAACGGCAGCACAGUAAGAGCUUGCCCUUACGGGUGGCGAGUGGCGGACGGGUGAGGAAUACAUCGGAAUCUACUUUUUCGUGGGGGAUAACGUAGGGAAACUUACGCUAAUACCGCAUACGACCUACGGGUGAAAGCAGGGGAUCUUCGGACCUUGCGCGACUGAAUGAGCUGAUGUCGGAUUAGCUAGUUGGCGGGGUAAAGGCCCACCAAGGCGACGAUCCGUAGCUGGUCUGAGAGGAUGAUCAGCCACACUGGAACUGAGACACGGUCCAGACUCCUACGGGAGGCAGCAGUGGGGAAUAUUGGACAAUGGGCGCAAGCCUGAUCCAGCCAUACCGCGUGGGUGAAGAAGGCCUUCGGGUUGUAAAGCCCUUUUGUUGGGAAAGAAAAGCAGCAGGUGAAUACCCCGCUGUUCUGACGGUACCCAAAGAAUAAGCACCGGCUAACUUCGUG
This 492-nucleotide ribosomal RNA is filed under the name uncultured bacterium. RNAcentral's name for it is "partial 16S ribosomal RNA". It matches the Rfam family "Bacterial small subunit ribosomal RNA", at positions 29 to 507 of the family's 1533-position model. The record is from RNAcentral.